RNAcentral lists this ribosomal RNA (398 nucleotides) under uncultured bacterium. RNAcentral describes it as "bacterial SSU rRNA". It matches the Rfam family "Bacterial small subunit ribosomal RNA", at positions 358 to 772 of the family's 1533-position model. The record is from RNAcentral.
GGAAUUUUGCGCAAUGGGCGAAAGCCUGACGCAGCAACGCCGCGUGAGGGAUGAAGGCUCUUGGGUCGUAAACCUCUUUUGCCGGGGAAGAUAAUGACGGUACCCGGCGAAUAAGCCACGGCUAACUACGUGCCAGCAGCCGCGGUAAUACGUAGGUGGCAAGCGUUGUUCGGAUUUACUGGGCGUAAAGGGCGCGUAGGCGGCCACCGCAAGUCGACUGUGAAAUCUCCGGGCUUAACCCGGAAAGGUCAGCCGAUACUGCGGGGCUAGAGUGCAGAAGGGGCAACUGGAAUUCUCGGUGUAGCGGUGAAAUGCGUAGAUAUCGAGAGGAACACCUGCGGCGAAGGCGGGUUGCUGGGCUGACACUGACGCUGAGGCGCGAAAGCUAGGGGAGCGAA